UAUAUGUUAUUUCCCUAAAGUUUGAAUGGUUUUGGAAUGUUUUUGGGUGAAAAAUGUUCAUGGAAAUUUUUUGAGUUUUUCAUGAAUGUUCUUCAUUGUUCUUGACAUUUUAGCCAAGAACAAAAAGUUUUGUGUUUUGAUUCAAAGUUUUGAUUUAUUUCAUAAAGUUUAUGUUUUAUGAUUUUCAAAUGUUUAAAUGUUUUAGAUAUUUGUUUAAAUGGUGUAAGAGAUAUUGGUGGGUGUGUAAGGAUUAAUUUCCUUUCACACACACCACUUGCACCACUUGAUUUCUUUAUGUCAAAACUCACAAAUCAACACACACAUCACUCCAUUUCUUCUUCCAAAACCGGCCAACCCCUAGUGGGGGUACUUUUGGGG
RNAcentral lists this long non-coding RNA (378 nucleotides) under Malus domestica (apple). Its description in RNAcentral is "long non-coding RNA (MDOM_LNC018460)". Lineage: Eukaryota; Viridiplantae; Streptophyta; Magnoliopsida; Rosales; Rosaceae. The record is from RNAcentral.